AUCAGUUUGAAUGCGGUGCACAAAGGCGCGGGCUCAGCAAAGGCCUUUCUCCAUUUCCGUUUCUCCCUCCCCCACCCCCGACUUUCUCCCUUUUUAUUUGUUCCUUUCCUUUGACAAGAGAUGGUUUCCAAAGACACCUGGGCAGUCAAGGAGCUGACCGAUCCAAAAUAUUUAUUCCCUGCCUCCCUCCACGCCCCUCACCACCACCAGGACCUGAAAAGCGAUCCUGCCUGCUCAGCUCACUGGUGCUGGACAGAUGAGGGCCCAAAGCCAUCAGCCAGAGAAAGGAGGAGCCCUGAAUGAGCUGCAGCCUCGAUGGUGAACUCUCAACCAGUGAAUAGUUGGCAAGAAAACAGAGAUACAGUGCGGUGCAGGGGAAUCCUGGGAGAAGUGAUGAGACAACCAAAUUUGCAAAGUCCUCUGCACUGCAACAAGAAUGAAGCAUUACAUGAGUAUGUAAUGCUCAUCAAAUCAAUGGCCUCUCAUCUAGUGCAGCGAGCAUCUCAUCACUUGGCAACCUCUCACUAACCUGGAGUCAUUGGAAAAUGGCUUAGACUUCUAGACAACUAAAAGUUACAGACACUUCAAUUUUCACCUCUUGCCUGUUAAGUUCUUCUCUGUUUUCUUAGUAGAACAUCCUUUGGUAUAUAAUAGGUACUUGAUAAAUGUUACAUUGAGUUACUUUGGGGUGCCGUGAGUCUAAAACACUCUUGUUGGGAAGCUAUUGCUGACAUCGAGCAGUUCUAAUGGUAUAAUAUCUGCUUAAUUGUAUGAAAAAGGUUUGAUCUACAGAUAUAAUUUGACUUUAAAUUUACCAGAAACCUAAUAAUACAUUUUACCAAGAUGGAAUUAUAUUCUACAUUUUAACUCAUGAAGAUUCAGAUACUCUUUAUCCAGCUUUAUUCCAUUUACCACAUUCUCCCUUAGCUUGACCCUCCUCAGGCCAUUUUAAUGCCUGUCAAGCUACUCACCCAUCAAUUUUUCAAAAGAUCUGCGUGGAGUGUCCAUUGUGCCAUCCACCUUUGGCAUCUCAACUAGCAGGUGAGCGGAGAGAAAGGAAUACCAGCGAUGCCUCUGGUUGACCAUUUUGAAGGAAAAUUUGAGAUAUCUGGGGAGCAUUGCUUAACAUUUGGUCUUUCCCUCUCUAUAGAUCUUAUUUACUUAUGCCACUGUUUCCUUCAAUAGCAACAUUCGACCCUGAUU
This 1203-nucleotide long non-coding RNA is filed under the name Equus caballus (horse). RNAcentral describes it as "lncRNA (ENSECAG00000051190.1)". The record is from RNAcentral. Lineage: Eukaryota; Metazoa; Chordata; Mammalia; Perissodactyla; Equidae.